CUACGGGAGGCAGCAGUGGGGAAUAUUGGACAAUGGGCGAAAGCCUGAUCCAGCCAUGCCGCGUGUGUGAAGAAGGCCUUCGGGUUGUAAAGCACUUUCAGUGGGGAAGAAAGCCUUGGGGCUAAUACCCUCGAGGAAGGACAUCACCCACAGAAGAAGCACCGGCUAACUCCGUGCCAGCAGCCGCGGUAAUACGGAGGGUGCGAGCGUUAAUCGGAAUUACUGGGCGUAAAGCGCGCGUAGGCGGUCUGAUAAGCCGGUUGUGAAAGCCCCGGGCUCAACCUGGGAACGGCAUCCGGAACUGUCAGGCUAGAGUGCAGGAGAGGAAGGUAGAAUUCCCGGUGUAGCGGUGAAAUGCGUAGAGAUCGGGUGGAAUACCAGUGGCGAAGGCGGCCUUCUGGACUGACACUGACGCUGAGGUGCGAAAGCGUGGGUAGCAAACAGGAUUAGAUACCCCAGUAGUC
Molecule: ribosomal RNA, 464 nt
Filed under: Vreelandella stevensii
Lineage: Bacteria; Pseudomonadati; Pseudomonadota; Gammaproteobacteria; Oceanospirillales; Halomonadaceae
Description: partial 16S ribosomal RNA
Rfam family: Bacterial small subunit ribosomal RNA
Source: RNAcentral